AGAUAAGUUGGAAGUGAAAUCCUAUGGCUUAACCAUAGAACUGCUUCCAAAACUGUCUAUCUAGAAUAUGGGAGAGGUAGAUGGAAUUUCUGGUGUAGGGGUAAAAUCCGUAGAGAUCAGAAGGAAUACCGAUUGCGAAGGCGAUCUACUGGAACAUUAUUGACGCUCAGAUGCGAAAGCGUGGGGAGCAAACAGGAUUAGAUACCCUGGUAGUCCACGCCCUAAACGAUGCACACUAGUUGUUGCCUUGCUAGACAAGGCAGUAAUGCAGUUAACACAGUAAGUGUGCCGCCUGGGGAGUACGGUCGCAAGAUUAAAACUCAAAGGAAUAGACGGGGACCCGCACAAGCGGUGGAGCAUGUGGUUUAAUUCGACGAUACGCGAAGAACCUUACCUGGCCUUGACAUAGAGAGAACUUACUAGAGAUAGUUUGGUGCUAGCUUGCUAGAACUUUCGUACAGGUGCUGCACGGCUGUCGUCAGCUCGUGUCGUGAGAUGUUGGGUUAAGUCCCGCAACGAGCGCAACCCUCGUGUUUAGUUAAUAACGGUUCGGCCGAUGACUCUAAACAGACUGCCUGGGUAACCAGGAGGAAGGUGAGGACGACGUCAAGUCAUCAUGGCCCUUACGGCCAGGGCUACACACGUGCUACAAUGGGGUAUACAAAGAGCCGCGAUACCGCAAGGUGGAGCAAAUCUCAUAAAAUAU
This 706-nucleotide ribosomal RNA is filed under the name uncultured bacterium. RNAcentral describes it as "bacterial SSU rRNA". It matches the Rfam family "Bacterial small subunit ribosomal RNA", at positions 581 to 1284 of the family's 1533-position model. The record is from RNAcentral.